This 467-nucleotide ribosomal RNA is filed under the name uncultured bacterium. RNAcentral describes it as "partial 16S ribosomal RNA". It matches the Rfam family "Bacterial small subunit ribosomal RNA", at positions 28 to 506 of the family's 1533-position model. The record is from RNAcentral.
GACGAACGCUGGCGGCGUGCUUAACACAUGCAAGUCGAACGGAAAGGCCCUGCUUUUGUGGGGUGCUCGAGUGGCGAACGGGUGAGUAACACGUGAGUAACCUGCCCUUGACUUUGGGAUAACUUCAGGAAACUGGGGCUAAUACCGGAUAGGAGCUCCUGCUGCAUGGUGGGGGUUGGAAAGUUUCGGCGGUUGGGGAUGGACUCGCUGCUUAUCAGCUUGUUGGUGGGGUAGUGGCUUACCAAGGCUUUGACGGGUAGCCGGCCGGAGAGGGUGACCGGCAACAUGUGGACUGAGGGUCGCCCGAGGCCCCUAGGGGUGGGAUAAGGGGGGAACUUUGCAUAACGGGCUGAAGCCUUGUGGCGCAUCGCCGGGUGAGGGGAGCCGCCUUUCGGGUUGAAAACCGCUUUUGCUUGUUACGAAGCGUGGGAGACGGUAAUGGAAAAGGCAGCAACGGACAAUUCCGU